This 434-nucleotide ribosomal RNA is filed under the name uncultured bacterium. RNAcentral's name for it is "partial 16S ribosomal RNA". It matches the Rfam family "Bacterial small subunit ribosomal RNA", at positions 27 to 507 of the family's 1533-position model. The record is from RNAcentral.
GAACGAACGCUGGCGGCAUGCCUAACACAUGCACGUCGAACGAGACCUUCGGGUCUAGUGGCGCACGGGUGCGUAACGCGUGGGAACCUGCCCUUAGGUUCGGAAUAACUCCCCGAAAGGGGUGCUAAUACCGGAUAAUGUCUUCGGACCAAAGAUUUAUCGCCUUUGGAUGGGCCCGCGUUGGAUUAGCUAGUUGGUAGGGUAAAAGCCUACCAAGGCGACGAUCCAUAGCUGGUCUGAGAGGAUGAUCAGCCACACUGGGACUGAGACACGGCCCAGACUCCUACGGGAGGCAGCAGUGGGGAAUAUUGGACAAUGGGCGAAAGCCUGAUCCAGCAAUGCCGCGUGAGUGAUGAAGGCCUUAGGGUUGUAAAGCUCUUUUACCCGGGAUGAUAAUGACAGUACCGGGAGAAUAAGCUCCGGCUAACUCCGUG